This 2182-nucleotide long non-coding RNA is filed under the name Mus musculus (house mouse). RNAcentral's name for it is "long non-coding RNA chr10:119462349-119464531". The record is from RNAcentral. Lineage: Eukaryota; Metazoa; Chordata; Mammalia; Rodentia; Muridae.
AGGCCCAUUACCUCAACCCAGUAUCCAAGACUCCAUCACCAUGAAACAAGUUGAAAUCAUGCUUGUGGUCUUUAUAAGUGAGGAGAAAGUUUCUGCUAAUCUUUGCCUCUUUCCCCUUCCUUUUUAUGGUGCUACUUAAAUACGCAGCGAUAUAAAACUAGGCACAAACUCCUAGUGUUUGUGGCACUGUGACCAUGAAGCCAAGCAGGUGAAACACAAAUAUUACCUUUCAAAAAUCAGUCACAUUGAAACGAACAACAUUGGUUGCAUGUAUUUUUGCUGAAACUAAAUUCCCUCUGCAGUGCAAAUACAGUCCUUGCUAUUGCAGAAAACCAUGUCAUUACUCUUUAUUUUUUCUAUCUGAACUUAUGAAUACCACCUGAUUUUCCUGGUCAUAAACACACCGUUUACAUGAAAUGUCCUCUGUGGUAAUCCUAAAAAUAUAAAACCUAAUUUUAGCCUUGAAAUUGGUGUCAUAUUUAGGUUGUCCUCUCCAAUUGUCCUUUUUUGAUCUACAUUUGUCCUUCUUAGACUGUUUGUGGUGAAGGACUAUUUUUAGUUAGUAACAGGUUGAACUGUAGUUGCUCAACACAAUGCGUUGUGUACACUGGGCCGGCCCUUGUCUCUAUCCCAUUUGUUGAGAUGAGUCCACCAAUCACAGAGAAGCACGAGAUGAGUCUGCCAAUCAUAGAUGAGCAUGAGUCGAGCCUACCAAUCACAGAUGAGCAUGUGAUCACGUCAAAUGGUAGCAGGACUUUCUUCAGUCUUUCCUUUCACUUAACAUAUUUAACCAUGAUAAGUAACAUGUACCCCGCCCCACAGACUACUGCAAAGAGUACUGGGUUCAGGUGUGCAUACGGUAGGAUGAUUUUGAGCUCAGUAGCCUAGGGAGGAACUGCAUAAAAACGGACCCAUCACUUGAAAUGAAACAUAGUUUCUGUAAGUGCCUUUACCCCCUCUGUAAGCCUGUUCCUACUGAAAAUGAAGUCUGGUCUUUCCAGUCGAGAGCACUUCAGUCCUCUUUCCAGGACUCUUCUGCAGUUUCCCCAACUUUCAGUGCUUUCCUUCUCUUCUGUCCCAAGAUGGUAUUGAUGUGAAGGGGACCGUCUAGUGUCCUAUGAUGCUGGGUGAAGGGCAUUUCGCCUCUUUACUGUGUAACCCUCAGUGUGCCCACUGCUCUGGAUUUGGCAUGCUUGGACCUGGGCAUUGUGCCCUGGUAUCUACUGAAAUGAGUCUGUGCCUCUUGUUCCUUUGAAUGUCACCCUGGCAGCUGAGUUGCUCUUCCUGGGCCUUAUCACUGAGUCUGCCCGUGAGAUCUCUUAGUCUGCGACCUUCCUCCAUACCCGUCCCACCAGCGUUUCCCCCUCCUGGGAGCCAGGGUUCUCUUACAGUAAAUGUUGACACUCUAUGGACCUGUGGCCAUAUUGAAUAUCGCCUGUGUUAAAUACGGGACCUGAGUGUUAGGUGGUGGUGUUUUUGGCCACUGCGUUCUUUAAUAUGCUCUUCUCUACCCAGGAAUUAGUCUUUCCUUUCCCAGCAGUCUGCCCAGCAGCCCAGAGAUGACGUAGCUUGAAGCAGACAGUUUCUCCUCAAUGCCUUCUCAACUGACAUUGUGCACAGCCCUUCUCGACUGGUUGGCUAGUAGUCUGCCCUCUCUAUCUCUUCAGCAGACACAGGCAUGUGAGAACUGACGUGUUUCUCCUCGGAAUUAGCACCGUGUGUUUCCUAAUAGAUACUGAUAGUUUAUUCUGAGAUAAGAGUCUCACUCACUCUGUAGUCUAGAGUCUCCAAGAAUUUAUAGUAAUCCUCCUGCCUCAGUCUCCCAAGUGCUGGUCUUACAGAUGUAAACCACCAUACUUGGUGUGAUAUUGAUGCAUUUUUAAAAAGCUUACCUUAAAAUUCAAGCGAAGAUUUUUUAGAAGAAAUCGCCAGAUACACUCGAGAUUUCUUGUCUGGAUUUAUAAAAUUAAUCAUUUUCCUCUCCCUCCUCUUUUACUGGCGAAGGGUUGUUGUCUUUGAUGUUCGUAGCCUUUGAAUAUAGGAUCUAGUGGGCCAUAUGAAAAUCUUGUUUAUAGUUUGACAGAAUAAUUCAAAUUUAUGUAUUUUUUUUGGGUACAAAUCAUUAUGUAAACAAAAGAUAGUGAAUGAUGUUUUUACCCAUUUGGUACACUUAAAAAAUAGC